Molecule: ribosomal RNA, 490 nt
Filed under: uncultured bacterium
Lineage: Bacteria
Description: bacterial SSU rRNA
Rfam family: Bacterial small subunit ribosomal RNA
Source: RNAcentral
AUCCUGGCUCAGAGCGAACGUUUGCGGCGGGCCUAACACAUGCAAGUCGAACGGGCUAGCAAUAGUCAGUGGCGCACGGGUGCGUAACACGUGGGUAAUCAACCCUUCAGCCUGGGAUAACGACUCGAAAGGGUCGCUAAUACCGGAUACGGCGCGAGAGGCUUCGGCUUCUCACGAGAAAGCCACGCGAAGGGGCACUGAAGGACGAGCCUGCGGCCCAUCAGCUAGUUGGUGAGGUAAGGGCUCACCAAGGCUAAGACGGGUAGCUGGUCUGAGAGGAUGAUCAGCCACACUGGAACUGAGACACGGUCCAGACUCCUACGGGAGGUAGCAGUGGGGAAUAUUGCGCAAUGGGCGAAAGCCUGACGCAGCCACGCCGCGUGAGCGAUGAAGGCCUUCGGGUCGUAAAGCUCUGUGGGGAGAGACGAAGAAAGCCUGUGAAGAGCAGGCCUUGACGGUAUCUCCUUAGCAAGCACCGGCUAACUCCGUG